AGAACACUGGCUUGUCCGCAGGCCAUGAGUGGUGAGUUUAUCAGUGAGAGGAAGAGCCACCUGACAGACAGACGGAGGAGCAGCUAGAAACCAGAGGACAUCUGUGGUGAUAUUUCUGCUGUGGAUCACUGAGAGUUACUGAGGCCUGAGCCAUGCGUCUAGCUGUGGUAACUGCUGUCCUGCUGUUGGUGUGCAUUCUGGACACUGUGACAGCCAGAUUUAGGUAUGAUCCUUCGUCAAAAUGUAAACCCUAUCCUGACAAGCCAUGCGGUAGAGGAUGGAGCCGCAUUGAUGUGAAACACUGUGCUAAAUUCUUCUGGAGUGAAAGAACUUUCAAUGAUGCACAGAACUACUGCCGCAACAGCCAGGGGGGUAAUCUGGUUUCAAUCCACAAUGAGAAUGAGAUGAUGAACGUGCGUUGUUUGAACUCACGUGCCAUGCGUUAUGAUCGCAAUACUUUUUGGAUUGGACUCAGAAAAACAGGG
Epinephelus moara (kelp grouper) is the source of this 485-nucleotide long non-coding RNA. RefSeq lists it as uncharacterized. The record is from RefSeq and is a predicted model, not a curated record. NCBI's taxonomy places the organism in Eukaryota, Metazoa, Chordata, Actinopteri, Perciformes, Serranidae. The transcript has 4 exons.